This 405-nucleotide ribosomal RNA is filed under the name uncultured bacterium. RNAcentral's name for it is "bacterial SSU rRNA". It matches the Rfam family "Bacterial small subunit ribosomal RNA", at positions 355 to 774 of the family's 1533-position model. RNAcentral also lists the same sequence under 1 other name. The record is from RNAcentral.
UCGAGAAUCUUGGGCAAUGCGCGAAAGCGUGACCCAGCAAUGCCGCGUGCGGGAUGAAGGUCUUCGGAUUGUAAACCGCUGUCACUCGGGACGAACAAAAUGACGGUACCGAGGGAGGAAGCCACGGCUAACUACGUGCCAGCAGCCGCGGUAAUACGUAGGUGGCGAGCGUUGUUCGGAUUUAUUGGGCGUAAAGGGUCCGCAGGAGGUUUGUUAAAAUUGGGGUGAAAUCCCGGAGCUCAACUCCGGAACUGCCUUGAUGACUGACGAACUAGAGUGCUGGAGAGGUAAGCGGAAUACCAGGUGUAGCGGUGGAAUGCGUAGAUAUCUGGUAGAACACCGAAAGCGAAGGCAGCUUACUGGACAGCAACUGACUCUCAGGGACGAAAGCGUGGGGAGCAAACA